This is a non-coding RNA of Heterocephalus glaber (naked mole-rat), 72 nucleotides long. NCBI's taxonomy places the organism in Eukaryota, Metazoa, Chordata, Mammalia, Rodentia, Bathyergidae. The record is from Rfam.
GGGGAUGUGGGUCAGUGGUAGAGCUCUUCCAUUACAUGCACAAGGCCCUGGGUUCGAUCCCCAGCAUCACCA